This 427-nucleotide ribosomal RNA is filed under the name uncultured bacterium. RNAcentral's name for it is "partial 16S ribosomal RNA". It matches the Rfam family "Bacterial small subunit ribosomal RNA", at positions 355 to 774 of the family's 1533-position model. The record is from RNAcentral.
UGGGGAAUAUUGCACAAUGGGCGCAAGCCUGAUGCAGCCAUGCCGCGUGUAUGAAGAAGGCCUUCGGGUUGUAAAGUACUUUCAGCGGGGAGGAAGGGAGUAAAGUUAAUACCUUUGCUCAUUGACGUUACCCGCAGAAGAAGCACCGGCUAACUCCGUGCCAGCAGCCGCGGUAAUACGGAGGGUGCAAGCGUUAAUCGGAAUUACUGGGCGUAAAGCGCACGCAGGCGGUUUGUUAAGUCAGAUGUGAAAUCCCCGGGCUCAACCUGGGAACUGCAUCUGAUACUGGCAAGCUUGAGUCUCGUAGAGGGGGGUAGAAUUCCAGGUGUAGCGGUGAAAUGCGUAGAGAUCUGGAGGAAUACCGGUGGCGAAGGCGGCCCCCUGGACGAAGACUGACGCUCAGGUGCGGAAGCGUGGGGAGCAAACA